RNAcentral lists this ribosomal RNA (367 nucleotides) under uncultured bacterium. Its description in RNAcentral is "bacterial SSU rRNA". It matches the Rfam family "Bacterial small subunit ribosomal RNA", at positions 527 to 896 of the family's 1533-position model. The record is from RNAcentral.
GGAGGGUGCAAGCGUUAUCCGGAUUCACUGGGUUUAAAGGGUGCGUAGGUGGGCUAGUAAGUCCGUGGUGAAAUCUCUGAGCUUAACUCGGAAACUGCCGUGGAUACUAUUAGUCUUGAAUCUCGUGGAGGUAAGCGGAAUAUGUCAUGUAGCGGUGAGAUGCUUAGAUAUGACAUAGAACACCGAUAGCGAAGGCAGCUUGCUACACGAGUAUUGACACUGAGGCACGAAAGCGUGGGGAUCAAACAGGAUUAGAUACCCUGGUAGUCCACGCCCUAAACGAUGGAUACUCGACAUACGCGAUACACAGUGUGUGUCUGAGCGAAAGCAUUAAGUAUCCCACCUGGGAAGUACGACCGCAAGGUUG